UUACAAUAGAUUACACUUUGUUUUGCCCUCGAAAGGAGAUGGUCAGAGAAUCUAUAUACUUUAAAUUUUUAAGUUUUUAUUUCCUAGUUACGCCUGUGUAUGUUAAGGGGUUUAUAAUCUUGGGUAAUUAGAUCAUUUUAAUUUGUUGUCUUACUUGUUCAGUUAUUUUUGUUAAUGUUUUUUAAAUUUCUUAUAGACUGAGCAAGUUGAAUUUUGUAAACAAACUUUAUGUAGACAGUUGUUUCAUAAAAAUGGCGUGUAAAGGUUUUAGCCAUAUAGCUGUUCUGCCCUGGAUAAUGAACAUUGGCCUGAUUAAGAAGUAGCUUGCCCUGGUUAAGAACAGGGCAGGAAAUACAUAAUCAGGGCAACAUAAUCAGGACAGGCCGGCUUAUUACUCAAAAUAAUUAUUUGGCACUUAUAAAAGGAACAUAAUCAGGUCAGGCCAGAUUGUGUACGACAGUCUAAUAUUAUUUCUCACUUAUUAUAGAAUGAACAUAAUUGGGGCAAAGGUGCUGAUAAGCCGCAAACGCCUGCGCAUAUAUAAGGGCGAGUUCGGGCGACUUUUCGAAUUAAAUUGACGGUUGUCCGCCGAAACCGCCUGCACUUUCCCGAACUCGCUCGAAACAUUCCUGAAAUGCAACACCUUGUAACAUAAACAUGGCGGAAGACAAUUAAAGAACACGCUUGAAGAGAAAGGAGAGCUUAAUGCACCAAACCUCUUCGAAUGUCUGGCACGAUAACACAACGAAUUAGCAGGUUGUCAUCAAAUAUUUUGGUAGCGAGCGGAAAUUCUUAGAGCCCCCAGAGCUUCUUGUAUUAUGCUUCAGAACAAGUCCAUUGACGUCUUUGAAGGAAUUCAUAUGAUUGAUGCCUUAAAAAGUGCUGCCAUAGCUACCCGAAAUCGGUUGAUGCUUACCAUGACAUUUGGUGUGAGAAAGCUAUAUUUUUAGCUCAAAAAGUGUGUUACUCCUGCAAAAUCUGGGACUUGUGGCCGUCAAAGAAAGAGGUCCAACAUUCCUGCUGAUAACAUUUCAGAAUAUUUCAAAUGGACAACAACUAUUCCAAUGUUGGUGCUGGAGUUUAUUUUUAAGUAAGAUGCGCUCUCUCAUCAAAAUUUAAGUGAAUUAAUUCAAUAGUAAGGUUAUAUUAAAAUAUUGGUAAUAAAUAGUAAAAAGUAAUAGUAGUAGUGUCGUAAAUAAUUAUAUAAUAAGAAAUACUCUCCCCUUUUUUUUGGUGAUGACAAACCUGCUUGAUUUCAAAAUGUUCCCCGGGCUCAGUAACUUCGCUGACAGUACCUGGGUCAAGGAGCAACUAAGUUUUUUUCUUUUCUCCAUUGAUGAUUGCGAUUGUGAUUGCUAUAAUGACAUGAUUAAUCCAUACCUUCCUUUUGUUAAAUUUUUCACACAUUAGUUAUAUACAAAUUGUAACAAAACAGGUAGCUGUAAUGAUAAUAUUUUUGCAAGGAUUUUUUGUAAAACACUGACCAUACACUGUUGUAUGGUAGUAACAAAACAGGUAGCUGCAAUGAUAAUAAUAUUUUUUAAGGAUAAAUACACUUAUUCUUAGCGUUUAA
Hydractinia symbiolongicarpus is the source of this 1573-nucleotide long non-coding RNA. RefSeq lists it as uncharacterized. The transcript is spliced from 2 exons. The record is from RefSeq and is a predicted model, not a curated record. NCBI's taxonomy places the organism in Eukaryota, Metazoa, Cnidaria, Hydrozoa, Anthoathecata, Hydractiniidae.